UCUAGUGUAGCCCGCCAUUUUGCCCUGAGGCUAUCUUCCUCAGCUGCUGGGCCACUGCUGCUGCUUUAAGGGAGCCAGCUCCCUGCUCUUCUUCGAGGGUCACUGCCCAGGGUUGGCGCAGCCCUCGAGGGUGAUUUUGUGGUGCUUUCAGCCAGCCCCCAAGAAUUUGGAGAUUUCCCUAGCCCUGGUUCUCACUGCCGGGAUGAGGAAAUUGAGGCUGCUCCAAGGUCAAGCAGCAAUCCCACAGGGCAAGGACUGGGUCAACAUUCUGAGAGGACUGAGGAGAGAGGCAGUUGGGACUAACUGUUGCGUCUCUGGAAGAAGACAAGGUGGUGGAGGUGGCUCUCUCUGAAGGAAAAGACUUUGAAACUGCAAGGAAGUUGGACCAUCUUGAAGGAGUGCUUGAAUAUCAUUAAUCAUGUAAUAAGACAAUUUUGAAGCAAACGUGUGGAAAAACAUAGCCCAAGCCAACCUUCCACUUGAAAUGUGUAGAAAAGCUACCAGGAACCCUAUCAAGAAAAGUAAGUGCUCAGUUUAAUUGGUUGUAUAAUGUAAUGCAUCUUCACUUGUCGGCUUCAAUCCUCCAGAAAUAAUAAUGUCUUCUUAAUUUUGACAGGGUCCAGUUAUUUUUUUUCUUUUUUCCUUUUUCUCUUUUGUUUUGUUUUACAUUUAUCCAUGAAGCUUAAAUCAUAGCACCAGAUGAGGUCUCUAGCAUGUUUAUGCCAUGAUGAAUGUAAUAAGCACAACUAUGUUUCCUAUGAAAUACUAUCAUUAAUAACUAAAAGUUUAACAUCUUUAUGGAUCAGUUAUGGGUUCUGUGCAACUGGAAAAAUGUGAGAAACUCAAUAAGCCUUGCCUAUGACUUAGUUCAUUUUCAGUAUCUAAUUAAAUUCUAUGAUAUACUAUGCAAUUCACCAUGUGAAGGUCAAUCCAGAGCAUGCAGUUUCCAAUAUAGUGUGCUAGAAACUAAGCCUUUUAGAUAUCUUACAUAGCAAACCAAAUAUUCAAUUGUGCAUUUGGGAAAUAUAUGUUCUCAUCUCAAUAUUCAGUUUUAAGAUUGCAGGAGGAAGUCAUAAAAUGUGGACAUUGCAAUAGGGUAUUGCUGAAAUAGGCAAACAUGACAAAUAGAAAAAUAGGAUGCCAAACAUCAUCUUUAUGAGAAGCUACUAGAGUUUAGAUCCUGGAUAAUAAGGAUGGUAUGUGUUCUCUCUAUCCAGUUCUUAGUUUGGAGCAAUGUUAAGAGUGGAUGCUUACUAAUUGUUCAUUGAAACAGCUAGAUAGACACAUUGAUAAUGAUAAAUUUUCUAAUCCCUUUAUAUUUAUACAAUUACAUUAUUCCCAUAUAUGAAUAAAUAAGUAUGUUAGAGGUCAAAAGUAUGAAUGAAAUUGAUGAAUGAAUGAAUGAAAAUUCUUCUCCUUCUAGAUUUAUAUCAUUAUAUCAUACAAAUAAAAAAAUAAAGCAGUCUUUAGAUGUGAAAAAUCUAACUCAUAACUUUAAUUUGGGCAUUCCUAGCCAAGUAGUCAAUGAAUAAACGAACAUUUAUUGUCUACUGUAUGGAAGGCAUUCUGCUAAGUAUUGGAGAUGAAAAUAAUAAGAAAAUUGGUUUCUAUACUUAGGAGCUUCCAAAUGAAGGUGUGCAGGGUAGAGCUUUUUAAAAAUUCCUCUCUGUCUGUCUGUCUGUCUCUCUCUCACACACACACACACACAUUAAAUAGUCCUUCAAUCAGAAGGGAGAGACAACUUUGGUACUGAGCUGGAAUUGAAUAUCAAAGCUGAAAGAAUCUCCAUGAGGAUGAGAUUACUUAUGAUGAGAUUAUAUUAGAGGAGCAGAUUGUUCAUUCAGUCUGAAAAAGAGAAUUUGAUGGCCAAUGAGGUAAUUGGAAAUGAGAAGAUUGGAAAUGGAUUAGGACUUGUUUGGUGAGCAAUAAGAAACAGAAAGUAGAAUAUGUGGAGAAGAAUUGUGAAGUUUAAGGCUUAGAAUUUAGACAAAUCACUACAUAGCUCAGAAAUAACAGAAACCUCAACUCAGGGAGUACCAAUGAAAUAAUUUAUUCACUUUGGCAUCUACUCAACCUAAAACAUCAAAGUCAAUUUGUUGGAACAGCAAUAGCUGAAUUUACUAAAUAUCAAUGACUUAAUAAUGUAGGGAAUGCCUAAUGUAAGAAACAAGAUGUAUGCUACCAGGAUCAUGACCUGUUUACUACUUAAUGUAAUAGGUAGAUAGUAAGGAGUUGUCUGACGGGAAGUUAGAUGGCCUAGUGGUUAGAAUGUUUAGCCCAGAGUUAGGAAAACUCAUUUUCCUGAGUUUAAAUCUGGCUUCAUACAAUAUUUAUGUUACCCUGGGUAAGUCACUCAAGCCUGUUUGCCUCAGUUUCCUCAUCUGAAAAUUUGUUAGAAACAAAAAUGAAAAGUCAUUCUAGUAUCUUUGCGAAGAAAACCCCAAGUUGGGUCACAAAGAGUCAAGUAUAGCUUAAACAAUAAAACAGGGUUGUCUGAAACACAUAGAAUGUGUCACUUGUCCAGAGUUACAAAUACAUUAGAUGUUAUAAAUAUAAGAAUUUAGGUAUCCCUGACCCCAAGAUUACCCUGUGCUGUUUCUCUAUUUAUUCAGCCACACACAAAAAAGUGGGAAACUUCAUAGUUAUAUAAUAUUUAAAGUACCACAGUUUUCCCUCCAGAAAGGACAUCAGAGAUAAUUGAAUCUCAUCAUCUUAUAUAUGCAAGAAGAAAGUUAUGGUUCUUGGUCCAGCAUUAUGCAAUAAAAUGAUGUUUACAGUGAUAGCAUCAAAGAAACCAGGUAAUAUAUAUGUAGCAUAAUUAUUAUAUUUUAUACUUCACAUGAAUAAAUGGAGUAUCAGAGGAAUUCAAUGACUUAUUCAAUGUUACAAAACUAAAAUGUCAGUGGUAGAAUCUGAAAACAGGUCUGAGGAUAUCUGCCCAUUCUUCUUCACAGAGCAUAACUCUAACUGCAACAAAAAGAAUCUAAGAAAGACUUUUCCUUCCUCUGGGAUGAGUAAUGUCUGUAGUCAGUACCCUCCAGGAUAAAAUAUAGGUAAUACAACUGAAUUAUAGUUUCAGAACACUAAAUGAUACCCUAGUGCCCUGUGAGGUUAAUAUACCCUCCAAAAGAGUCAAAGAACAUAAUUCAUAAUCAGAGCAGAUUAUAGGCACUGUCAAAAACAUGUAGGCAACUAUUCUUCAAUUCUAUGAAAUUCUAUGAAACUUGUGUGUGUGCUGAAAAUCAAGAGUUAGUGUCUAGUAAAAAGAAUGUUGAAUCUGUAGUCAGAUAAUUUGUUUUGAAUACAAACCUUUGAAUAUAUGCAGAACUCUCAUCUGUGAAAAGGGGAUACUUAAUAAUAAUAAUAUUAAUAACAUUAUCUUCUAGCAUUAUAAAAUCAAAUGAGAAUGCAGAAAAUAAAAUAUUAAAUACAUGUAAAUUAAAAUUUUAAUGUCUGAAAGUUUGAUGAGAUUUGAAUUUGGCAGCAUUUGGAAUGGAAUAUUCCUUUAGUCUCUUGGUUCUCUGUACCUGUUACAUCUCACUUCUUUGCUUUGUCAAUUUCUGUCCAUCAUUUUGAAUGAGUCAAAUGUUACCUUUUCUAUCAUCUUGUAUGUCAGUUAAGAUCUUUUUCCUGAAAUUUCUGCACUUAUGUGGUUCUCAAUAUUUUUGGUGUUAGUUCUUACCCUUUUGAAAUUAUCA
Monodelphis domestica (gray short-tailed opossum) is the source of this 3698-nucleotide non-coding RNA. The record is from RefSeq and is a predicted model, not a curated record. NCBI's taxonomy places the organism in Eukaryota, Metazoa, Chordata, Mammalia, Didelphimorphia, Didelphidae.